Molecule: unclassified non-coding RNA, 244 nt
Filed under: Hevea brasiliensis (rubber tree)
Lineage: Eukaryota; Viridiplantae; Streptophyta; Magnoliopsida; Malpighiales; Euphorbiaceae
Source: RNAcentral
AGGAGGGUAGAGUGUACGUAAACCUUACCCCUUAUCUUGAGAGGUAGAGAUAUUGUUUCCUAUAGAUCCUCGCCUCAAAGAAAAGCGUAUCAAAGAAGAUCGGAAACAUAAAUAACGAAGUGAAGAAAUCAUAGGAAAGCAUUCUGAAGAAAGAACAGUAAUUACAACAAAAUAGUGUGAUAACCGCAGUACAAGAGACAGUGAAUAGUGAUAGAUAAGAACCUGGAGAGAAACUGCAUACGCU